This 447-nucleotide ribosomal RNA is filed under the name uncultured bacterium. RNAcentral's name for it is "partial 16S ribosomal RNA". It matches the Rfam family "Bacterial small subunit ribosomal RNA", at positions 29 to 507 of the family's 1533-position model. The record is from RNAcentral.
AACGAACGCUGGCGGCAUGCCUAUCACAUGCAAGUCGAACGAUGCCUUCGGGCAUAGUGGCGCACGGGUGCGUAACGCGUGGGAAUCUGCCCUUGGCUUCGGAAUAACAGUUAGAAAUGACUGCUAAUACCGGAUGAUGUCCCCCUGAGAGAUCUUGGGGACCAAAGAUUUAUCGGCCAGGGAUGAGCCCGCGUAGGAUUAGGUAGUUGGUGGGGUAAAGGCCUACCAAGCCGACGAUCCUUAGCUGGUCUGAGAGGAUGAUCAGCCACACUGGGACUGAGACACGGCCCAGACUCCUACGGGAGGCAGCAGUGGGGAAUAUUGGACAAUGGGGGGAACCCUGAUCCAGCAAUGCCGCGUGAGUGAUGAAGGCCUUAGGGUUGUAAAGCUCUUUUACCAGGGAUGAUAAUGACAGUACCUGGAGAAUAAGCUCCGGCUAACUCCGUG